GGGGUGACUAGUGACAGAGUGAGAGAGGGGGUGACACAGUGAAAGAAUGAGGAAGGGGGUGACACAGUGAGGGAGAGGGUGACACAGUGACAGAGUGAAGGAGCUGGUGACUGUCACUAGUCACCCCAUUCCUCCCUCUGUCACUAAUCACCACCUCCCUCACUCUGCCACUAGUCACCCCUUCCCUCCCUCACUCUGUCACUAGUCACCCCCUCCCUCUCUCUCUGUCACUAGUCACACCC
This is a non-coding RNA of Pelobates cultripes (western spadefoot toad), 242 nucleotides long. Lineage: Eukaryota; Metazoa; Chordata; Amphibia; Anura; Pelobatidae. The record is from the annotation of a GenBank genome assembly.